Molecule: ribosomal RNA, 492 nt
Filed under: uncultured bacterium
Lineage: Bacteria
Description: partial 16S ribosomal RNA
Rfam family: Bacterial small subunit ribosomal RNA
Source: RNAcentral
AGUGAACGCUGGCGGUAGGCCUAACACAUGCAAGUCGAACGGCAGCACAGUAAGAGCUUGCUCUUACGGGUGGCGAGUGGCGGACGGGUGAGGAAUACAUCGGAAUCUACUUUUUCGUGGGGGAUAACGUAGGGAAACUUACGCUAAUACCGCAUACCACCUACGGGUGAAAGCAGGGGAUCUUCGGACCUUGCGCGAUUGAAUGAGCCGAUGUCGAAUUAGCUAGUUGGCGGGGUAAAGGCCCACCAAGGCGACGAUCCGUAGCUGGUCUUAGAGGAUGAUAGGCCACAUUGGAACGGAGACAGGGUCCAGACUACUACGGGAGGGAGCAGUGGGGAAUAUUGGACAAUGGGCGGAAGCCUGAUACAGCCAUACCGAGUGGGUGAAGAAGGCCUUCGGGUUGUAAAGACCUUUUGUUGGGAAAGAAAAGCAGCAGGUUAAUACCCCGCUGUUCUGACGGUACCCAAAGAAUAAGCACCGGCUAACUUCGUG